AAGUCUCGGCCCUGCUACAGAGUAGAAUAAAUUGAUCCCUUUUCUGUAAGGUCUGCUGAGAACAGAGCCUGUCCUCUUGGUUUUGCAUACAACAGUGGACUUGUGUUAGAGAGAGAGAGAGAGAGAGAGAGAGAGAGAGAGAGAGCGAGCGCUGAUGGUGUGUGUUCUCUGAGGGUGUUUGACAGAACAGAGGACGUGGAUCAAGAGCACAGGAGACGAGGGAAGGACGUGAGGAAAGCACCCUUUAAGGCCGUUUUCUUUUUUUCUUUUUUUUUUAUAAUUUCAUCAAACCUGAGCAGUUCUUUAUUUUUUUCUUCAACCUGACAAACAUUGCAUAUUUUUUUCUCCAAAGCACAAACAA
Long non-coding RNA from Labrus mixtus (cuckoo wrasse), 361 nucleotides. RefSeq lists it as uncharacterized. The transcript has 2 exons. The record is from RefSeq and is a predicted model, not a curated record. Lineage: Eukaryota; Metazoa; Chordata; Actinopteri; Labriformes; Labridae.